GGAGGAAAAGAAACUAACAAGGAUUCCCCUAGUAACUGCGAGUGAAGCGGGAUGAGCUCAAAUUUGAAAUCUGGCGGUUCCGCCGUCCGAGUUGUAAUCUGGAGAAGCGUUUUCCGUGCCGGACCGUGUACAAGUCCCUUGGAACAGGGCGUCAUAGAGGGUGAGAAUCCCGUCUUUGACACGGACUCCCGGUGCUCUGCGAUGCGCUCUCGAAGAGUCGAGUUGUUUGGGAAUGCAGCUCAAAAUGGGUGGUAAAUUCCAUCUAAAGCUAAAUAUUGGCGAGAGACCGAUAGCGAACAAGUACCGUGAGGGAAAGAUGAAAAGCACUUUGGAAAGAGAGUAAAACAGUACGUGAAAUUGUUGAAAGGGAAACGCUUGAAGUCAGUCGCGUCUUCUGGGACUCAGCCUUGCUCUGCUUGGUGCAUUUCCCAGUUUGACGGGUCAGCAUCGGCUCUGGGGGGCGGACAAAGGCGCGGGGAAGGUGGCAGCUCCGGCUGCGUUAUAGCCCCGCGUUACGCGUCCCCCGGGACCGAGGAAUCCGGCGCUCGCGCCUGGGAUGCUGGCGUAAUGGCUUUAAACGACCCGUCUUGA
Molecule: ribosomal RNA, 591 nt
Filed under: Subulicystidium brachysporum
Lineage: Eukaryota; Fungi; Basidiomycota; Agaricomycetes; Trechisporales; Hydnodontaceae
Description: LSU rRNA
Rfam family: Eukaryotic large subunit ribosomal RNA
Source: RNAcentral